GGGGAAUCUUGCACAAUGGGGGAAACCCUGAUGCAGCGACGCCGCGUGAACGAUGAAGCCCUUCGGGGUGUAAGGUUCUUUCGACAGGAACGAUAAUGACGGUACCUGGAGAAGAAGCUGCGGCUAACUACGUGCCAGCAGCCGCGGUAAUACGUAGGCAGCGAGCGUUGUUCGGAGUUUCUGGGCGUAAAGAGUGCGUAGGCGGCGAGCCAAGUUUGGUGUGGAAUCUCCCGGCUUAACCGGGAGGGUGCGCCGAAAACUGGUUGGCUGGAGUAUGGGAGAGGAAAGCGGAAUUCCUGGUGUAGCGGUGAAAUGCGUAGAUAUCAGGAGGAACACCUGCGGUGUAGACAGCUUUCUGGACCAAAACUGACGCUGAGGCACGAAAGCGUGGGUAGCAAACA
Molecule: ribosomal RNA, 401 nt
Filed under: uncultured bacterium
Lineage: Bacteria
Description: bacterial SSU rRNA
Rfam family: Bacterial small subunit ribosomal RNA
Source: RNAcentral